UAAGAUUGCGAUGAGGAUAACAAGCUCCCUCUUCUGAUUUAAAGUUGAGGACAAUCGCUGGCAGAAUCGAACCUAAUUAUUAAUCGCCACCACUGAGUAA
This 100-nucleotide small nucleolar RNA is filed under the name Macleaya cordata. Its description in RNAcentral is "Small nucleolar RNA R30/Z108". It matches the Rfam family "Small nucleolar RNA R30/Z108". From Rfam's summary of the family: snoR30 is a C/D box small nucleolar RNA which acts as a methylation guide for 18S ribosomal RNA in plants. Lineage: Eukaryota; Viridiplantae; Streptophyta; Magnoliopsida; Ranunculales; Papaveraceae. The record is from Rfam by way of RNAcentral.